This 451-nucleotide ribosomal RNA is filed under the name uncultured bacterium. Its description in RNAcentral is "bacterial SSU rRNA". It matches the Rfam family "Bacterial small subunit ribosomal RNA", at positions 328 to 793 of the family's 1533-position model. The record is from RNAcentral.
CGACCAGACUCCUACGGGAGGCAGCAGUGGGGAAUAUUGGACAGUGGGGGGAACCCUGAUCCAGCGACGCCGCGUGAGUGAAGAAGUAUUUCGGUAUGUAAAGCUCUAUCAGCAGGGAAGAAAGAAAUGACGGUACCUGACUAAGAAGCCCCGGCUAACUACGUGCCAGCAGCCGCGGUAAUACGUAGGGGGCAAGCGUUAUCCGGAUUUACUGGGUGUAAAGGGAGCGUAGACGGCGCUGCAAGUCCGGAGUGAAAGCCCAUGGCUUAACCAUGGUACUGCUCUGGAAACUGUGGAGCUUGAGUGCGGGAGGGGCAGGCGGAAUUCCUAGUGUAGCGGCGAAAUGCGUAGAUAUUAGGAGGAACACCGGCGGCGAAGGCGGCCUGCUGGACCGUAACUGACGUUGAGGCUCGAAAGCGUGGGGAGCAAACAGGAUUAGAUACCCUGGUAC